AUUGAACGCUGGCGGCAUGCCUUACACAUGCAAGUCGAACGGCAGCACGGGAGCAAUCCUGGUGGCGAGUGGCGAACGGGUGAGUAAUAUAUCGGAACGUGCCCAGUCGUGGGGAUAACGUAGCGAAAGUUACGCUAAUACCGCAUACGAUCUACGGAUGAAAGCGGGGGACUCGCAAGAGCCUCGCGCGAUUGGAGCGGCCGAUAUCAGAUUAGGUAGUUGGUGAGGUAAAGGCUCACCAAGCCGACGAUCUGUAGCUGGUCUGAGAGGACGACCAGCCACACUGGGACUGAGACACGGCCCAGACUCCUACGGGAGGCAGCAGUGGGAAUUUGGACAAUGGGCGCAAGCCUGAUCCAGCAAUGCCGCGUGCAGGAUGAAGGCC
This 385-nucleotide ribosomal RNA is filed under the name uncultured bacterium. RNAcentral's name for it is "bacterial SSU rRNA". It matches the Rfam family "Bacterial small subunit ribosomal RNA", at positions 30 to 416 of the family's 1533-position model. The record is from RNAcentral.